UAACUCCCUCUGCAGUAGGAUCAUUUCUAUAGGACACGUCUUUCUUUGAAUUUUUCAAAGAAGCCACUGAAUCCAACUUGGUUGAUGAGUUACGCACCUUCAUGCCCUAGAGUGAGGCUUUUUUUCUCCGACAAUGCGCUCUGGUUUUCUGGAUUGUAGUUUAUUAUGAGCUACGUUUCGGAUACUUGUUCGCUGGGUCCUAUUGUGCAUUUUGCAGAGUUCUGCAGAUGUAGAUGGAUUUUCGAUGAUCUCUACCCUUGAUGUCUAUGUCUCUCCGGAGAAAAGACCUUGGGCGGGCAUGAAUGGUAGUCUGACAAGU
RNAcentral lists this small nucleolar RNA (319 nucleotides) under Lipomyces starkeyi NRRL Y-11557. Its description in RNAcentral is "Fungal small nucleolar RNA U3". It matches the Rfam family "Fungal small nucleolar RNA U3". Rfam says of the family: Small nucleolar RNAs (snoRNAs) are involved in the processing and modification of rRNA in the nucleolus. There are two main classes of snoRNAs: the box C/D class, and the box H/ACA class. The record is from Rfam by way of RNAcentral. Lineage: Eukaryota; Fungi; Ascomycota; Lipomycetes; Lipomycetales; Lipomycetaceae.